Molecule: long non-coding RNA, 273 nt
Filed under: Ictidomys tridecemlineatus (thirteen-lined ground squirrel)
Lineage: Eukaryota; Metazoa; Chordata; Mammalia; Rodentia; Sciuridae
Description: lncRNA (ENSSTOG00000030100.1)
Source: RNAcentral
GCCAAACAGCAAAUGAAUUAUUGCAUCUCUUAUCAUGACAAAGGUCAUCAAAAUGGAAAUUCCAACUGUGGGAAAAGCAUGGGGAGAUGAACAUGCUAGUUUGGUCUCUGGAGAAUACUGAACCAAAAUGUGAGAGGCAGCAUGUUCUUCAGCUACCACAUUUCGAGAAAUCAGUCCUGAACAGCAGGAGAUUAAGUAAACUGUGGUAAGCUGGUAUUUACUGGGGUAUUAUGAACCAUUAAAAAUUAUACAUCAGAGCCAGUUGCACGCCUG